GUGUCGGUAGUGCAACGGUUUAGCACACGCUCACGGAAAGAGUGAGAUCUGGGUUCGCUUCCCGGCUGAAGCA
Parelaphostrongylus tenuis is the source of this 73-nucleotide non-coding RNA. NCBI's taxonomy places the organism in Eukaryota, Metazoa, Nematoda, Chromadorea, Rhabditida, Metastrongylidae. The record is from the annotation of a GenBank genome assembly.